This 582-nucleotide ribosomal RNA is filed under the name uncultured bacterium. RNAcentral describes it as "bacterial SSU rRNA". It matches the Rfam family "Bacterial small subunit ribosomal RNA", at positions 338 to 916 of the family's 1533-position model. The record is from RNAcentral.
CCUACGGGAGGCAGCAGUGGGGAAUUUUGGACAAUGGGCGCAAGCCUGAUCCAGCAAUGCCGCGUGCAGGAUGAAGGCCUUCGGGUUGUAAACUGCUUUUGUACGGAGCGAAACGGUCUGCUUUAAUACAGUAGGCUAAUGACGGUACCGUAAGAAUAAGCACCGGCUAACUACGUGCCAGCAGCCGCGGUAAUACGUAGGGUGCGAGCGUUAAUCGGAAUUACUGGGCGUAAAGCGUGCGCAGGCGGUUUAUAUAAGACAGAUGUGAAAUCCCCGGGCUCAACCUGGGACCUGCAUUUGUGACUGUAUAGCUAGAGUACGGUAGAGGGGGAUGGAAUUCCGCGUGUAGCAGUGAAAUGCGUAGAUAUGCGGAGGAACACCGAUGGCGAAGGCAAUCCCCUGGACCUGUACUGACGCUCAUGCACGAAAGCGUGGGGAGCAAACCAGGAUUAGAUACCCUGGUAGUCCACGCCCUAAACGAUGUCAACUGGUUGUUGGGUCUUNACUGACUCAGUAACGAAGCUAACGCGUGAAGUUGACCGCCUUGGGGAGUACGGCGCAGUUGAAUCAAGGAAUUGAGGC